RNAcentral lists this long non-coding RNA (2321 nucleotides) under Fukomys damarensis (Damara mole-rat). RNAcentral's name for it is "lncRNA (ENSFDAG00000028337.1)". The record is from RNAcentral. Lineage: Eukaryota; Metazoa; Chordata; Mammalia; Rodentia; Bathyergidae.
AUGAUUAUCCUCCUCUGGAAGUUUUGCUUCUUGGGAAUUUCAUGGCCAAAGCAAAUCCAGAUCCCAGUGCACAGCCUGUCCAUCAAGACAGCUUUCAACAGCUCCCACAUCUGGAUGCUUCCUCAUUCACAACUGCAGAAGGAAGAAGAUAACUUUGAGCAGUUUCAGAACAGUCCUGAAAUUCAUUUUGAUUGGACAAGGUUAGUUCACAUAUCUAGUCCUGAAAGAUCACUCUGGCCAGGAUGUGGGGGAAGAACGGUAGGAUGAACCUGCUGGCGUAGCCUCAGUCAUGUGCUUCCUCAUUCUGCAGCUAGAGAUCAAAUCACCCUUCCUAGAACCAUGUGGAUCUAGAUCAAAACCAAAUAUAGCCAAACCCAAUACUUGUCAUAUUUUGACAAGAUAUUCAGUCUCUAAGUAACUCAAGACCAGUGCUGAAUCUACACAUAUUCUUUGUUGCCAUCUCAUAAUUUUGUGCAUUUUCAAUGCUAACUAUGGUUCCCAGAAUGAUUAGAAAUGAUAUCGCUAGGCAUAAAAGGCUUAUGUGAGCCCAGUAAAAGGCAUUAUCCCAGUAAAAUGUGAAACUUCUGGGGAACUUUCAAGAAUUAUCUUCAAUUACAUUAAUUCAUAUGGGAAAAUAGGGUUUGGUACUCAAUGAUUUUGACACUCAUAACUAGUUCUGGAAGGAAUUAAUGACAAGGACCAAGAUAUGACUAUAGAAGCUUUUUAGAUGGGGCAACUGUGAUAAACUUCAAGGCAACUGUAAUAUAUCUUAAUAUCCACUAGAUACAGGAAACUUAGAACCACUAGACUUUCUUUGACCCAGUACCCUUAACAUUCAUUGUCUGAUACUCUUCUUACAGAUUUGAGGGGUCCAGUUUAAUUGUCCAGAUUAGUCAUUAUUUCCAUGAGAACAGAUCCACAUUAUAAGAUUUUUAGCCGCUAGAAUUAGAUAGAAUAUCAAUAAUGUGAAGAUCGUGAAGGUCAAAGUUCAAAUAUUGGUAAUAAUAUUUCAAAGAUGGAUGCACUUAGUUUAAAUACAACUUUUGGUAUCUGAGGCAGAAUAGAAGUGAAAGAUAGAGUCUGAAAUCCUGAUCAGGUUGGAGACAGUCCAACUAAGCUGUACACCCACUGUGAGCUCAUUGAGCCAUGUAGAUAAACUACAAAACCUUGUAACGUUCAGACCAACUGCUCUAGAGCAGGCCUUUGUCAUUUCCAACAUGCUUUCACAUUAAUCCCACUUUAACUGAAUGAAAAGGCAACUUCCAAGAACUCUGAAAGUCAUUUCAGUGGUUGGCUGGUAUAUCCUACGAGCUAGAGAUAAAAUUAACCUGAGGGAUACAGUGCUGGUGUUAAAAUAGAAGCAGGUUUUUGGCAGUGUUUACUGGUAUGUCCAGUUGACGUCACUGGAUGGCCACCAAAAUGCUCAACACCUUCUCAGUAUUAUUUCUUGAUCUAUGUAUCAAGAGAGGAAAAUAUAGCUAAAACUUGCUGCUAGAAAGCCUAUUUCUGUUGAAUAUGAUGUUAUCACGGAUUCAGCUGCAAGUCUAAGCAUGGUGAAUAAUAAGAGUUGUGAGCAACUCAGUGACUUCUUAUACUCUCCCCAGCAUGUCUGAUUAGUUUGUCUUUAAGUUGCAGCAGUAAAGAGCCUAUAAUAGUUAGGACUAUAAUAAUUACUAGAAUGCAACCCUCCUUAGAGAUGCCAUCUCAUUUAUAAUUCUCAGAGCAAGCCCCUUACAUGUUAUUGGUCAAUUAUGUAUUUUUCUUGUGAAGACUUUCCCUUGUGAUGUUAGUUUAAAGUUUUACUGUAUGCAAAUGUGUGGACACAUGUGGUGCAUUUAUUAUUUUAAAUCCCACUGGGAGUCCACUGAGUGUUUGCCUGCCCCUUCCUUCUUUUUUCACCUUUCUCUUCAUCUGUUGCAUAUUUUUUCCUUCCUCCGUCCAUUAUGUUUAUGCAUUCAGAGAAGAGUCUUCUGGGAAAAUAAUGGAAGGGAAAAGCUUGUGAUUUAUCAUUACACUGUAAUGGGUGCCCUGGUUCCGCUGAAGGAGGUCAGCCUCUCUUAGAGAUACCACAGUCCCUCCUUAUUAACAUUCUGUUCCCACUAAUGGCUUGGGGUAGGGCAGCCAGGUCUUAAAGGGAAGGCAUUUAAGAAGAGCACUUUGUUUAAUGGAAGCUGGGGGGUUUUAUGGGGACGCAUGGCGUCAAGCUCUCUUAUGAGAGUGACACAUUCACAGAUAAAGAACAUCUUUUCCCACCCUUGCAAAAAAACAACGGGCUUUAAAAAAGUGAAAAAUCCCCUUUGCCCUCUUCUAUUCAAUUCUCC